GGGAUCUUAGCUCAGCUGGGAGAGCAUCUGUCUUACAAACAGAGGGUCAUAGGUUCGAGCCCUAUAGGUCCCA
Molecule: transfer RNA, 73 nt
Filed under: Clostridium sp.
Lineage: Bacteria; Bacillati; Bacillota; Clostridia; Eubacteriales; Clostridiaceae
Also listed under: 3 other names
Description: tRNA-Val
Rfam family: tRNA
About the family: Transfer RNA (tRNA) molecules are approximately 80 nucleotides in length.
Source: RNAcentral